UGACUCUCUUUUUUCCUUGAAUGUGAACACAUGAGUGAAGCAUACAUCCAUUGUCCAUGGAGCAAGAAACAUGAGGAUGAAAAGCCAAUAUGUUAAGGACAUGAAGUGAAAAGUGGGAAGAGCUUCUUAUUCAUGUUAUCACUGAGCAGCGGGAACUGGGGGCUCUGCUCAUUAUAGUUGCCCACGGCCUCCAGUCAAUGAAAUUUCCGGCCAAUGAAAUGCUCUACUGUGACUGAAGCAGCAAAGGGAAGAUGGGUGGCUUUGAAAUCAGAAUUGGAUGCAGAGGGAGUCCCAGAGGCCAACACUGUGAACAUAAGAAGGGAAAGACCAGUUCUGCAAGCACAGAUGAAAUUUUGAGAAGCAGAGCUACAGUUCUGCCGGAGGCCUCUCCAGAUUGUGAUGCACUGGGAGCAAGCCACCGUGAACAUAUCCUCAGGUCUCCAGUCUUCUGCCAUCGCAUGAAAAAUGGAGCUUGUCAAACACGGAGCAGAGCUGAACUUUCUGAAUUCCACGGGACAGUUCAGAGUGCUUGGAAUGACACCCACCCGCAAUUA
Molecule: long non-coding RNA, 554 nt
Filed under: Pan troglodytes (chimpanzee)
Lineage: Eukaryota; Metazoa; Chordata; Mammalia; Primates; Hominidae
Description: lincRNA
Source: RNAcentral